This 616-nucleotide long non-coding RNA is filed under the name Cricetulus griseus (Chinese hamster). RNAcentral's name for it is "lncRNA (ENSCGRG00000026216.1)". Lineage: Eukaryota; Metazoa; Chordata; Mammalia; Rodentia; Cricetidae. The record is from RNAcentral.
CACUGUGCCCAGCAGCACACUGUGACUUUACAAUGGCUGGCUCACUGAGUCUGCAUCGGGAAACUGAGAAGAUGGGGUCAAAAGAGAUGAUGACCCUAAUGCCGUCCAGCCAGCAGAAGUCAGAGUCAGAAUUUGAGCCCAGACAGUCUGAUGAGAGUCUCCUAACCACAGACACCAACUGCCUCUCAGAUGAGACUAUAUGGGAUAAAAGAAAAGUCCUCCCCCAAGGCCGUGAAUUGGGGAAAAAUGAGAAUGACGGCACCGAGCAUGGAAGGAGUGGAUUCUCUGUGCUUAGGACAUGGGGAAUUAUAUAACUCCUCAGUAAUUACACAACCUUUCAAAGGCUCAGAUGAAGGUUUUCCCAUCAAAUGGAUGCAACCACAUUGGAGAAUUUGGAACCAAACUUCUGAGUGGUUUCUGCCUUUAUGGAUGCGGCCUGCAGUUCUGGCUGGUGGCCACGAGGGUUCCCUGGGCAGGAGACAUGAUAGGAUUUCACACGGUACUUUGAGCUCCUGGAUCAGAGUCCCCAGAGCUUGCCAUGUGGGAUGGAGCCUCGGCAAGGAGCAUUUAUUGCCCUCCCUCCCUGGAGAUCCAUCUGUUUGCCAAGGCCUUUCCA